UCCAGUGUAGUCCAAUAGGUAGAGACAGCUGACUGUUAAUCAGUGUGUUGUAGGUUCGAGCCCUACCGCUGGAGCCA
This 77-nucleotide transfer RNA is filed under the name Bacteriophage sp. Its description in RNAcentral is "tRNA-Asn". It matches the Rfam family "tRNA". From Rfam's summary of the family: Transfer RNA (tRNA) molecules are approximately 80 nucleotides in length. Their secondary structure includes four short double-helical elements and three loops (D, anti-codon, and T loops). Further hydrogen bonds mediate the characteristic L-shaped molecular structure. tRNAs have two regions of fundamental functional importance: the anti-codon, which is responsible for specific mRNA codon recognition, and the 3' end, to which the tRNAs corresponding amino acid is attached (by aminoacyl-tRNA synthetases). tRNAs cope with the degeneracy of the genetic code in two manners: having more than one tRNA (with a specific anti-codon) for a particular amino acid; and 'wobble' base-pairing, i.e. permitting non-standard base-pairing at the 3rd anti-codon position. The record is from RNAcentral.